AUUGAACGCUGGCGGCAGGCCUAACACAUGCAAGUCGAACGAGUGGCGGACGGGUGAGUAAUGUCUGGGAAACUGCCCGAUGGAGGGGGAUAACUACUGGAAACGGUAGCUAAUACCGCAUACCAUCGGAUGUGCCCAGAUGGGAUUAGCUUGUAGGUUAGGUAACGGCUCACCUAGGCGACGAUCCCUAGCUGGUCUGAGCGGAUGACCAGCCACACGGGAACUGGUAAACGGUCUAGACUCCUACGGGAGGCAGAAGUGGGGAAUAUUGCACAAUGGGCGCAAGCAUGAUACAGCCAUGCCGCGUGUAUGAAGAAGGCCUUCGGGUUGUAAAGUACUUUCAGCGGGGAGGCGUGACCCGCAGAAGAAGCACCGGCUAACUCCGUGCCAGCAGACGCGGUAAUAC
This 406-nucleotide ribosomal RNA is filed under the name uncultured bacterium. RNAcentral's name for it is "partial 16S ribosomal RNA". It matches the Rfam family "Bacterial small subunit ribosomal RNA", at positions 30 to 526 of the family's 1533-position model. The record is from RNAcentral.